This is a long non-coding RNA of Mesocricetus auratus (golden hamster), 1266 nucleotides long. RefSeq lists it as uncharacterized. Lineage: Eukaryota; Metazoa; Chordata; Mammalia; Rodentia; Cricetidae. The record is from RefSeq and is a predicted model, not a curated record. The transcript is spliced from 3 exons.
UUUGCCACAGCUUAAAAAAGUCUGUUGGUUUAAAUUGUAAAAAUCGAGCAGGCCUCUGAUUCACUCACCUGAGGAAGGAGCUGGGAUCUGCCACCCAUUUCUCAUCUCUUCCCUUUGUGGGCUUUCAUUCAUGCCUGCAGGAUUAGGUCUUCAAUGGUUACUCUGAAUGGUUAUUUAGAUUAAUGUAACACCUUUCAUGUCCCGAGGCUAAAGAGGCUUCUGUGUGUUUGUUCUUAUAGUAAUGUUGGAAAGCCCUUUUGAGGAAGAAAUUCAUGUCAAGGCAGCAAGAAGCUAUUUCUUUAUGUCAAUCAAUACCAAAAGAUUAAAUUGUGGGUAAGACAGAUCAGAAAAGGAACCACCACACACCACUCUCCAUGGGGAGCAGAAGGAGCUCACCAAGGCGUGCCUCACUCCUGUGCUGCUGUCCUUAAGUUCAGCCCUACAUAAGAAGACCUCCCCUGCACGACAGCAUGCAUGUGACCACACUCAACCACACAGACGCUGAUUGUCCAGUGACUGUCUCCACCACCCCACUGCCAGAAGAACCAAAAAUAGUAUGUGGGAAAGGCAUCAUGACAAGGACUUCUGAGACAGACCAGCAUGACCAACACUGAACUGCAAGGGAAGCUGUGGUAUGCACGGUGUCCACCCAGGACUGAAUGCCCCUGAAGCUUGUCUUCUAUGGACUCAUGGAGUUUGUGCUACUUGAUGGUUUCAAAUAUUACCUACCAGAGAGCUGAGAAUGUAGUUCAGUGACAAAGCAAUUGUGUAGGCUCCCAAAGCCCUGGGUUUGGUCCCCAGCACUGGAGGAAAAAUACUCAUUAUAUUUCAGAAUGAGCUGUCUUUGAUUGCCAAGGAAUGUGUGACAGAAAAAUAAACUACAUGUACACACACGUGGCAUUUCCUAAAAAAAUUGUUUCCAUAGAACUGUGUUCAUUUUUGACAUAUAAAAAUGAUGACAUGUCACCAUUAAGGAUAAUUGAGAAGAAUGAAAAGCAGAAAAAUAAUAAUAUAAUGACUUACUGAGCAUGCUUAUUUAACUACUGUAUAAAUUUAACCCUCAUGCAAUAAGAAGGCAUUUGGCAAAUCAGAUUAAGAACACAGUCUGAGUAAUAUCAGAGACUUAGAACUAACUACAUGUAUAUUCUCAGGAAGAUAUUUAAAUUACAAUUAUACACAAAUAUGCAGAACUGUACACAAAGACCCUAAAACACUAGUUAUGUGGUAAGACUCUUACUGAUGUGGUUUUGCUCUUUCAUAUUUUCU